AGUCGAACGAUGAAGCCCAGCUUGCUGGGUGGAUUAGUGGCGAACGGGUGAGUAACACGUGAGUAACCUGCCCUUGACUCUGGGAUAAGCGUUGGAAACGACGUCUAAUACCGGAUACGAGCUUCCACCGCAUGGUGAGUUGCUGGAAAGAAUUUUGGUCAAGGAUGGACUCGCGGCCUAUCAGCUUGUUGGUGAGGUAACGGCUCACCAAGGCGACGACGGGUAGCCGGCCUGAGAGGGUGACCGGCCACACUGGGACUGAGACACGGCCCAGACUCCUACGGGAGGCAGCAGUGGGGAAUAUUGCACAAUGGGCGAAAGCCUGAUGCAGCAACGCCGCGUGAGGGACGACGGCCUUCGGGUUGUAAACCUCUUUUAGCAGGGAAGAAGCGAAAGUGACGGUACCUGCAGAAAAAGCACCGGCUAACUACGUGCCAGCAGCCGCGGUAAUACGUAGGGUGCAAGCGUUGUCCGGAAUUAUUGGGCGUAAAGAGCUCGUAGGCGGUUUGUCGCGUCUGCUGUGAAAUCCCGAGGCUCAACCUCGGGUCUGCAGUGGGUACGGGCAGACUAGAGUGCGGUAGGGGAGAUUGGAAUUCCUGGUGUAGCGGUGGAAUGCGCAGAUAUCAGGAGGAACACCGAUGGCGAAGGCAGAUCUCUGGGCCGCUACUGACGCUGAGGAGCGAAAGGGUGGGGAGCAAACAGGCUUAGAUACCCUGGUAGUCCACCCCGUAAACGUUGGGCGCUAGAUGUGGGGACCAUUCCACGGUUUCCGUGUCGUAGCUAACGCAUUAAGCGCCCCGCCUGGGGAGUACGGCCGCAAGGCUAAAACUCAAAGGAAUUGAC
RNAcentral lists this ribosomal RNA (843 nucleotides) under uncultured bacterium. Its description in RNAcentral is "bacterial SSU rRNA". It matches the Rfam family "Bacterial small subunit ribosomal RNA", at positions 60 to 914 of the family's 1533-position model. The record is from RNAcentral.